UUUUCGGAAUCAGAGACUAAGCGAAAGUGAUAAGUUAGCCACCUGGGGAGUACGUUCGCAAGAAUGAAACUCAAAGGAAUUGACGGGGGCCCGCACAAGCGGUGGAUUAUGUGGUUUAAUUCGAUGAUACGCGAGGAACCUUACCAAGGCUUAAAUGGGAAAUGACAGGUUUAGAAAUAGACUUUUCUUCGGACAUUUUUCAAGGUGCUGCAUGGUUGUCGUCAGCUCGUGCCGUGAGGUGUUAGGUUAAGUCCUGCAACGAGCGCAACCCCUGUCACUAGUUGCCAUCAUUAAGUUGGGGACUCUAGUGAGACUGCCUACGCAAGUAGAGAGGAAGGUGGGGAUGACGUCAAAUCAUCACGGCCCUUACGCCUUGGGCCACACACGUAAUACAAUGGCCGGUACAGAGGGCAGCUACACAGCGAUGUGAUGCAAAUCUCGAAAGCCGGUCUCAGUUCGGAUUGGAGUCUGCAACUCGACUCUAUGAAGCUGGAAUCGCUAGUAAUCGCGCAUCAGCCAUGGCGCGGUGAAUACGUUCCCGGGCCUUGUACACACCGCCCGUCAAGCCAUGGAAGUCUGGGGUACCUGAAGUCGGUGACCGUAACAGGAGCUGCCUAGGGUAAAACAGGUAACUAGGGCUAAGUCGUAACAAGGUAGCCGUACCGGAAGGUGCGGCUGGAACAUCUCAUUUA
This 692-nucleotide ribosomal RNA is filed under the name Chryseobacterium sp. CH21. Its description in RNAcentral is "bacterial SSU rRNA". It matches the Rfam family "Bacterial small subunit ribosomal RNA", at positions 831 to 1533 of the family's 1533-position model. The record is from RNAcentral. Lineage: Bacteria; Pseudomonadati; Bacteroidota; Flavobacteriia; Flavobacteriales; Weeksellaceae.